Molecule: ribosomal RNA, 495 nt
Filed under: uncultured bacterium
Lineage: Bacteria
Description: partial 16S ribosomal RNA
Rfam family: Bacterial small subunit ribosomal RNA
Source: RNAcentral
GACGAACGCUGGCGGCGUGCCUAAUACAUGCAAGUAGAACGCUGAAGGAGGAGCUUGCUCUUCUGGAUGAGUUGCGAACGGGUGAGUAACGCGUAGGUAACCUGCCUGGUAGCGGGGGAUAACUAUUGGAAACGAUAGCUAAUACCGCAUAAGAGUAGAUGUUGCAUGACAUUUACUUAAAAGGUGCAAUUGCAUCACUACCAGAUGGACCUGCGUUGUAUUAGCUAGUUGGUGGGGUAACGGCUUACCAAGGAGACGAUACAUAGCCGACCUGAGAGGGUGAUCGGCCACACUGGGACUGAGACACGGCCCAGACUCCUACGGGAGGCAGCAGUAGGGAAUCUUCGGCAAUGGACGGAAGUCUGACCGAGCAACGCCGCGUGAGUGAAGAAGGUUUUCGGAUCGUAAAGCUCUGUUGUAAGAGAAGAACGAGUGUGAGAGUGGAAAGUUCACACUGUGACGGUAUCUUACCAGAAAGGGACGGCUAACUACGUG